This 357-nucleotide ribosomal RNA is filed under the name uncultured bacterium. Its description in RNAcentral is "bacterial SSU rRNA". It matches the Rfam family "Bacterial small subunit ribosomal RNA", at positions 1 to 334 of the family's 1533-position model. The record is from RNAcentral.
CUAGCGACUUCAGAGUUUGAUCCUGGCUCAGGAUGAACGCUGGCGGCGUGCCUAACACAUGCAAGUCGAACGGAACUUUUACGGAUUGAGACUUCGGUUGAUAGAGGUUUAAGUUUAGUGGCGGACGGGUGAGUAACGCGUGAGUAACCUGCCUUUCACAGGGGGAUAACGUUUGGAAACGAACGCUAAUACCGCAUAACAUAGCGGAGCCGCAUGACUCUGCUAUCAAAGAUUUUAUCGGUGAAAGAUGGACUCGCGUCCGAUUAGGUAGUUGGUGAGGUAACGGCUCACCAAGCCGACGAUCGGUAGCCGGACUGAGAGGUUGAACGGCCACAUUGGGACUGAGACACGGCCCAG